GGGAUAUCCAAAGCUGUCUGUCAGAUGUCAGGUCAGAUGGAAUGGAGAACCCCAGAGACAAGGAGGGUAGAAUCAGGAAUUGGCUUUUUUCACUUUCCUGCUCCUCAGGUCAGAUAAAUUCAGAACUCUUACUUCUAUACCCGCCUCUGCCUCAAGCUAGCCUAAAACCCACAAUCUAACUCCCUUGAUGAGGAUGAUCAUUAACAACAAUCAUUAAAUAAGUACUUACCAAGUGCCAGGCACAGUACUAGAUAAAUAAAGUUGUCUUUUUAUCUACCA
This is a long non-coding RNA of Symphalangus syndactylus (siamang), 279 nucleotides long. RefSeq lists it as uncharacterized. NCBI's taxonomy places the organism in Eukaryota, Metazoa, Chordata, Mammalia, Primates, Hylobatidae. The record is from RefSeq and is a predicted model, not a curated record.